Gorilla gorilla gorilla (western lowland gorilla) is the source of this 148-nucleotide non-coding RNA. It matches the Rfam family "Metazoan signal recognition particle RNA". From Rfam's summary of the family: The signal recognition particle (SRP) is a universally conserved ribonucleoprotein. It is involved in the co-translational targeting of proteins to membranes. Lineage: Eukaryota; Metazoa; Chordata; Mammalia; Primates; Hominidae. The record is from Rfam.
GCUGGGCAUGGUGGCACGUGCCUGUAGUCCCAGCUACUUGGGGGGCUGAGGCAGGAGGAUCACUUGAGCCUAGGAGGUCAAGGCUGCAGUGAGCCGUGUUCGUGCUACUGCACUCUAGCCUGGACAACAAAGUGAGACCCUGUCUCAA